Molecule: long non-coding RNA, 627 nt
Filed under: Capsicum annuum
Lineage: Eukaryota; Viridiplantae; Streptophyta; Magnoliopsida; Solanales; Solanaceae
Description: long non-coding RNA (CANN_LNC018835)
Source: RNAcentral
UAUAUUUUAUUCAUAAAAAAACUAAGACAUCACGUAGACAUGAUUAAAUAUUAAUCCAUGCAUUUCAAAUAUUUCGUCCUUUUUUCUAACAAACCGGCAACAAUUAUAAUUACUCAAAUAAAAUUAUGACUAAAAUUACUUAGGCUCUCCAUCAACGUAAAUCUUAGAUCAAUCACGAUAAUUAAUCAUGGAUCGUCCAUUACGUGGAUUAAAUCGGAUCGGAACACCCCGACCCGUUUCCAACCCAAAUGCAUAAACCGAUUUGAAUCUGUAUUUAUCUAAAAUUUCCCUAACAUCAAGUUGAUCCUGAUCCCACCCACCAAGGUUUGCCUUGAAUACAUCAAUGGGACCCUUGCCACGUAGGUACAGGUGUACCUCCACUUCUGGUACUUUGGUCCAUACGGAUCUAGUUUGGUUUGUUGCGUUCGAACUUGGAUUUGAAUUUCGAUUCGGGUUAGGUUUUGAAUUUGAUCGGAGUCGAUUCGUUGGAGGGUAAUUCGUUGAUCUCCACCAUUUUUAUUGGUGGUGAAGGCAAAGAAAGAGGAAAGGCGAAGGGAGAGGUCAAGAAAUGUGGAAUGUUGAGAUUGUUUAAAAGAUUUGAGGGAUUGAUGACGUAGCAACUUUGUG